GUACGGGGGGGGCAAGCGUUGUCCGGAUUUACUGGGCGUAAAGAGCGCGCAGGCGGUCGUUCAAGUCGCGUGUGAAAGCCCCCGGCUCAACUGGGGAGGGUCACGCGAUACUGAUCGACUCGAAGGCAGGAGAGGGUAGUGGAAUUCCCGGUGUAGUGGUGAAAUGCGUAGAUAUCGGGAGGAACACCAGUGGCGAAGGCGACUACCUGGCCUGUUCUUGACGCUGAGGCGCGAAAGCUAGGGGAGCAAACGGG
This 254-nucleotide ribosomal RNA is filed under the name uncultured bacterium. RNAcentral describes it as "partial 16S ribosomal RNA". It matches the Rfam family "Bacterial small subunit ribosomal RNA", at positions 523 to 776 of the family's 1533-position model. The record is from RNAcentral.